RNAcentral lists this ribosomal RNA (278 nucleotides) under uncultured bacterium. RNAcentral describes it as "partial 16S ribosomal RNA". It matches the Rfam family "Bacterial small subunit ribosomal RNA", at positions 506 to 784 of the family's 1533-position model. The record is from RNAcentral.
UGCCAGCAGCCGCGGUAAUACGGAGGGUGUGAGCGUUAAUCGGAAUUACUGGGCGUAAAGCGCGCGUAGGCUGUUUUACAAGUCAGAUGUGAAAUCCCCGAGCUCAACUUGGGAACUGCGUUUGAAACUGUAAGACUAGAGUGUGUCUGAGGGGGGUAGAAUUCCACGUGUAGCAGUGAAAUGCGUAGAUAUGUGGAGGAAUACCAAUGGCGAAGGCAGCCCCUGGGAUAACACUGACGCUCAUGAACGAGAGCGUGGGGAGCAAACAGGAUUAGAUA